AAGCCUGUGAUGAUUUCUUAAAUUACAGUUGGAAUUACCGACUGAAUUAUUAUUUUGAUGUCAAUUUGAUAUCUGAGGCUUUGG
Small nucleolar RNA from Gossypium raimondii (Peruvian cotton), 84 nucleotides. The record is from Rfam. NCBI's taxonomy places the organism in Eukaryota, Viridiplantae, Streptophyta, Magnoliopsida, Malvales, Malvaceae.